RNAcentral lists this ribosomal RNA (271 nucleotides) under uncultured bacterium. RNAcentral's name for it is "partial 16S ribosomal RNA". It matches the Rfam family "Bacterial small subunit ribosomal RNA", at positions 29 to 289 of the family's 1533-position model. The record is from RNAcentral.
AUGAACGCUGGCGGCGUGCCUAAUACAUGCAAGUCGAGCGAACGGACGAGGAGCUUGCUCCUCUGACGUUAGCGGCGGACGGGUGAGUAACACGUGGAUAACCUACCUAUAAGACUGGGAUAACUUCGGGAAACCGGAGCUAAUACCGGAUAAUAUGUUGAACCGCAUGGUUCAAUAGUGAAAGAUGGUUUUGCUAUCACUUAUAGAUGGACCCGCGCCGUAUUAGCUAGUUGGUGAGGUAACGGCUCACCAAGGCAACGAUACGUAGCCG